UACGAAGGGGGCUAGCGUUGCUUGGAAUCACUGGGCGUAAAGCGCACGUAGGCGGCUUUUUAAGUCAGGGGUGAAAUCCUGGAGCUCAACUCCAGAACUGCCUUUGAUACUGGGAAGCUUGAGUCCGGAAGAGGUGAGUGGAACUCCGAGUGUAGAGGUGAAAUUCGUAGAUAUUCGGAAGAACACCAGUGGCGAAGGCGGCUCACUGGUCCGGUACUGACGCUGAGGUGCGAAAGCGUGGGGAGCAAACAGG
This 253-nucleotide ribosomal RNA is filed under the name uncultured bacterium. Its description in RNAcentral is "partial 16S ribosomal RNA". It matches the Rfam family "Bacterial small subunit ribosomal RNA", at positions 524 to 776 of the family's 1533-position model. The record is from RNAcentral.